This 2897-nucleotide unclassified non-coding RNA is filed under the name Hevea brasiliensis (rubber tree). Lineage: Eukaryota; Viridiplantae; Streptophyta; Magnoliopsida; Malpighiales; Euphorbiaceae. The record is from RNAcentral.
UCACAAAUCCAUCUUCAAGAAUCAACCCUUUUGCUCCUUUCUUUCUCUGGUCUCCCAUGGCAACUCUUCAAGACAUUGGGGUCUCAGCAUUGAUAAACAUAGUGAGUGCAUUUGCGUUCUUGCUGGCUUUUGCUCUCUUGAGAAUUCAACCAAUCAAUGACCGAGUUUACUUCCCAAAGUGGUACAUUAGUGGAGCAAGAAGCAGUCCAAGGAGGGCAGGCAAUUUUGUGGGCAAAUUUGUUAAUCUAAAUGUCAAGACUUACUUCACUUUCUUGAACUGGAUGCCUCAGGCUAUGAAGAUGUCUCAGACUGAGAUUAUUAACCAUGCUGGUCUUGAUUCUGCUGUUUUCUUGAGGAUUUACACUCUUGGUUUAAAGAUUUUUGUACCUAUGACGAUCCUGGCUCUCCUAAUUCUUAUUCCAGUCAAUGUAUCAAGUGGAACUUUGUUCUUUUUAAGGAAAGAAUUGGUUGUGAGUGACAUUGAUAAACUUUCAAUAUCUAAUGUUCGUCCUGAAUCCAUAAGAUUUUUUGUUCACAUAGCUUUGCAAUACUUGUUCACUGUAUGGAUUUGCUUCAUGCUUUACAAGGAAUAUGAUAUUGUAGCAUCCAUGAGGUUGCGUUUCUUGGCUUCGCAACGCAGGCGUGCUGAACAGUUUACUGUAGUGGUGAGUAAUGUGCCACAUGUUUCUGGGAAGUCAAAAUCAGACACAGUGGAGCAAUUUUUCAAAACAAACCACCCAAAUACCUACCUUUGUCAGCAGGCAGUCUAUAAUGCAAAUAAAUUUGCAAAACUUGUGAGAAAAAGAGAUAGGCUCCAAAAUUGGCUGGACUAUAACCAGCUUAAGUUUGAAAGGCAUCCAGACAAGAGGCCCACUCGAAAGAGUGGAUUUUUGGGAUUCUGGGGGGAAAGAGUCGACUCCAUUGACUACUACAAAAAACAAAUUGAAGAAAUUGAGAAAAGAAUGGCCUUGGAGCGCCAGAAAAUUCUCAAAGACUCAAAAUAUAUCUUGCCUGUUGCUUUUGUUUCAUUUAAUUCACGCUGGGGGGCUGCUGUUUGUGCACAGACACAACAAAGCAAGAACCCAACACUAUGGUUGACAAAUUGGGCACCAGAACCUCGUGAUAUUUACUGGCGUAAUUUGGCUAUACCAUUUGUUUCACUGAGCAUUCGCAAGCUUAUAAUAUCUUUGUCAGUGUUUGCUUUGGUGUUCUUUUACAUGAUUCCCAUUGCUUUUGUGCAAUCCCUUGCAAAUUUAGAGGGUCUUGAAAGAGUUGCUCCUUUCCUCAGGCCGGUAAUAGAGUUGAAAUUCAUCAAGUCAUUUCUUCAGGGUUUCCUUCCUGGUCUUGCUCUUAAAAUCUUUUUGUACAUUCUACCUACAAUUUUGAUGAUAAUGUCAAAAAUUGAGGGACACAUUGCAGUUUCAACUCUAGAACGAAGAGCAGCAGCAAAGUAUUAUUAUUUUAUGCUGGUUAAUGUAUUUUUGGGGAGCAUUGUUACUGGUACAGCUUUUGAGCAGCUACAUUCUUUCCUUCACCAAUCACCAACCCAGAUUCCUAGAACAAUUGGAGUUUCAAUUCCAAUGAAGGCUACUUUUUUCAUUACUUAUAUAAUGGUUGAUGGGUGGGCUGGUAUUGCUGGUGAGAUCCUUCGAUUGAAACCAUUGGUCAUAUUUCAUCUUAAGAACAUGUUUUUGGUAAAAACAGAAAGAGACAGAGAGAAGGCAAUGGACCCUGGUAGUGUGGACUUCCCAGAGACUCUUCCUAGUCUCCAACUAUACUUCCUUUUGGGUAUUGUCUAUGCAGUGGUUACUCCGAUCCUGCUUCCUUUUAUACUAGUUUUCUUUGCCUUGGCGUACUUGGUUUACCGCCAUCAGAUAAUUAAUGUCUACAAUCAACAAUAUGAGAGUGCUGGCGCAUUCUGGCCUCACGUUCACAGCCGCAUAAUAGCAAGUUUAUUGAUUUCUCAACUUCUGUUGAUGGGCCUGCUGAGUACAAAAAAAGCUGCUAAUUCCACUCCUUUGCUAGUUAUCUUGCCCAUAUUAACAUUAUCCUUCCACAAGUACUGCAAGAGUCGCUUUGAGCCGGCAUUUAGAAAGUAUCCACUUGAGGAAGCCAUGGCUAAAGACUUGUUAGAUCGGACCACGGAACCUGAUAUAAAUUUGAAAGCAUACUUGGCCGAUGCUUACUUGCACCCCAUCUUCCAUUCAUUCGAGGAAGAAGAGUUAGUCGAGGUUAGGGUGGACAAAUACCAAUCACGCGUUGCCAGUGCUCUGACCAGUGAACUUAGCUCGCCCUCUCCGCCACAUCAAGUCCAUCAUCCUUCUUCCCCACCACAUGUAUAUCAUCCACCACCUGAACAUAUAUAUCAUCCUUCCUCCCCACCUCAUUAUGCUUAUCAUCCAUCCUCCCCACCUCAUUAUGCCUACAACCAUGAAAAUGAAAGUUGAACAACUGUUUAUUUCAAGUUUUUUCAACCACUUACAACUGUUAGAGAUAGUGUUCCCUUGGGUUGUAAUUAUGGGUUCGGAAUGCUUUUCUUGAAAUAUACUUGGAAUUUCAGUCAUGCUAGGUUCUGUUGUUCGGUUCUUAGGAGAACCGCAAGGAAAUUUAGAAAAUUGCAUUGGCUAAUUACUUUGUAUCACGGUUUCAAGAAUUUUUUUUUAAUUUUUAAUUUUUAUUUUUUCUUAUGUAAUAUGUUUGACCAGGUCUUUUGGAGUUGUUGUAUAAAGCAUUUGAUAUGUUCAUUUUUCAUCGGCGUCUCGCCGACGGAAGUAGAGAAUUGCAUCUUCUUCUUCCUCUUCUUGUCAUAAUUUUAUUUUUAUGAUACAGAAAUCCUUGUUUGAUAUGUUGAUUGUAUUCUUACAAUUAAAAAUUAUGUGAACAAAAAUUUUAUCUCG